Molecule: long non-coding RNA, 1287 nt
Filed under: Ursus americanus (American black bear)
Lineage: Eukaryota; Metazoa; Chordata; Mammalia; Carnivora; Ursidae
Description: lncRNA (ENSUAMG00000021484.1)
Source: RNAcentral
AUGGAGUCUGAAUGGCGGAAAGAGGGUGGGGUACCUGGACUCCGGGGGCCUGUCCCAGCGCUCUGCGUUGGUCCCACCCGGGGACCAGCCUCUGGGAGAGCGGCUGCCCGGAUACCUCCAGCUCGCUCGGCCAGGGGCCCUCUCCCAGCAGCUCCUGCUGCUCCCAGAACUCGGAGGGCCGCGCUGGUUACUGGGGGAGGGGGUCGAGGAGACCCUGGGGGUCUGGGGGUAGGAAGGCCGGGAGGGCGAGAAGCCGUCGUCCGCGUGGCGGCCCCUGCCCUGCCCUUGUCCCUCUUCUCCAUCCCGCACCUGAUGAGGAGACAGACGGAUCAGCAUUCCAGCUCCUGCACUGCUAGGCUGCCUGCAGGGACCCGGGUCCUGGCACCUCGCUGCCCCUUCCCCAGCGUUGCCACCCGUAGGAGCCCAAACCUCGGCCUCGAUCCACUUCCCUCCCACCCACACACCCACUCACCACCCACAGGCCCAGCUGCUCAGGGUUGUCCCCUAGCCCCACCCCCACCGCCUUCCUCCAAAGCUGAAAGGCCCUGCCAGCCCCAGCCCGCCCUCCUCUGCUCCCUUUCAGGACCCGAGACCCACGCCCCUACCCUUCGCCCCUUCAGGGACCCGGACCGCCAGCCUUGGGGACAGGGGGACUGCCACAGUCUCCAUCUAAAGGGGAUGGGAGCGCAUGCCCGGGUCCCCUCGCCACCCCCCAGCUCCCUCCCCGAGGAUGCGGGCACCUGCCGGGAGGAGGAGCGGCCCCGGCGGCCCGCGAUGGGGCUCAGGGAGACAAAGAGCCGCGUCGGGAGCCCGUCCCCCUCCCCCAGCCGGGCCCUGGUCCGCGCCGCCCGCUCCACCUGCUCGCGCCGCGCUCACCUCGGGCUCCGGCCGCCCGCCUCUCCACGCUGGGUCGCCUGGGGUGGGGCCGGGCGGGAGCGCCGCGGCUGCAGCGUGCGGAGGGCUGGCGAGGGGAGGGGGCUGCGGGCGGUGGCGCUGGGAGAGGGGCCCGCCCCUCGGCCGCGGACGGGGAGACGGGGGCGCGCGCGCUCGAGCCAGACCCGGGAGGCGGCGGGCGGGAGCGCGCCGGGGGCGGCGGGGAGAGGCGCGGUGGAAGGAGGCGCGGCUUUUCCGCGCCUGAGCCGGAGGGCCCCAGAUUCCCAGCCGCAGGGGCUUCGGGGGAAUCCCUUGGGGUCCCGACAGGGCCUAGCCCCUUCCUCCCAACACACACACCUGCCCCGGCCCCCACCCCAACCACCUGGUGACCGAGGCCAGCCUGGACGCGGAUAG